Molecule: long non-coding RNA, 905 nt
Filed under: Panax ginseng (ginseng)
Lineage: Eukaryota; Viridiplantae; Streptophyta; Magnoliopsida; Apiales; Araliaceae
Description: long non-coding RNA (PGIN_LNC002580)
Source: RNAcentral
UCGGCAUAAAAUAUUACUUAUAGUCAAAUUUCGCACCAUAAGACUUUAUUAGAUUAUUAUGACUUAUUAUUUCUCUAUCAUAUGCCCAAACACAUAAUAUACUUCAUUGAAUAUCAAUUUCAACAAUUACAUUGAAAAAUAUCAUAAAUCUCUUAUUAAAUCUCCCGUCGAAUAUUAUUAAUUAUGCAAUAAUAUUUUACGCUAAGGUUAUCAACCUUUUAAUAACAUUCCAAUCAAAUACUACUAAUAAUAUCUCAAUACAAUAUUAUUAGUCAUAUAAAAAUAACUUAAGUCAUUAAUCACAUAAAUAAACAAUUAUUUCAAUUGUUUUCCUUACCGUAAUUAAUAAACUUGUUUAAACAUUUUAAAAUGUCAUAAACAUCACAACACCUUAAACCCGACCCAAAACUUCAUUACAAACUUGCAUAAGCCAUGCUCACGGGUCUCACUUCAUACAUCGCAUUUUUCCUAUUUUUGGACACUUUUGAUUUUCGAAAUAUUUUACCCAGCCUCACUAAAACAGCCAUAACUCUCGCGUUUUAAAACAUUUUUGAGCGAUUCUUGAGCCCACGCGAAGAUAACUUCCAGGGCUACAACUUUUGUCUCACGACAUUUUUCCAAAAUCAGAACACAACAGUCCAAAAAUUUACAUCAAGAAGGCUGUUCGGAAAUUGAGGAACAGUUUUGCUACGCACCUUCCGAACGCCAUAACUACCUCAUCCGGAGUCGGAAUUAGUCCGUUCCGGAGUCUAUGGAAAGCUAAAACAGAAUACUACAACAUAUCAAAAGCCCAAAAUUUUAAAACACAAAAACUGGACGAAAUUGCCCCUGACAUUGACUGCCCCGAAACUGUCCAUUUUUUGUUAGAAAAACGGGACUGUUUUGGCUUAAAUAAUUAUUACACC